UACCAGCACCCCGAGUGGUCGGGACGAUUAUUGGGCCUAAAGCAUCCGUAGCCGGUUCUACAAGUCUUCCGUUAAAUCCACCUGCUUAACAGAUGGGCUGCGGAGGAUACUAUAGAGCUAGGAGGCGGGAGAGGCAAGCGGUACUUAGUGGGUAGGGGUAAAAUCCGUUGAUCCAUUGAAGACCACCAGUGGCGAAGGCGGCUUGCCAGAACGCACUCGACGGUGAGGGAUGAAAGCUGGGGGGAGCAAACCGG
RNAcentral lists this ribosomal RNA (254 nucleotides) under uncultured bacterium. RNAcentral's name for it is "partial 16S ribosomal RNA". It matches the Rfam family "Archaeal small subunit ribosomal RNA", at positions 474 to 727 of the family's 1478-position model. The record is from RNAcentral.